Molecule: ribosomal RNA, 467 nt
Filed under: uncultured bacterium
Lineage: Bacteria
Description: partial 16S ribosomal RNA
Rfam family: Bacterial small subunit ribosomal RNA
Source: RNAcentral
GACGAACGCUGGCGGCGUGCUUAACACAUGCAAGUCGAACGGAAAGGCCUCUUUCGGGGGGUACUCGAGUGGCGAACGGGUGAGUAACACGUGAGUAACCUGCCCUUGACUUUGGGAUAACUUCAGGAAACUGGGGCUAAUACCGGAUAGGAGCUCCUGCUGCAUGGUGGGGGUUGGAAAGUUUCGGCGGUUGGGGAUUGACUCGCGGCUUAUCAGCUUGUUGGUGGGGUAGUGGCUUACCAAGGCUUUGACGGGUAGCCGGCCUGAGAGGGUGACCGGCCACAGUGGGACUGAGAUACGGCCCAGACUCCUACGGGAGGCAGCAGUGGGGAAUAUUGCACAAUGGGUGGAAGCCUGAUGCAGCAACGCCGUGUGCGGGAUGGCGGCCUUCGGGUUGUAAACCGCUUUCGCUCAUGACGAAGCUUUGUGUGACGGUAGUGGGUAAAGAAGCACCGGCUAACUACGUG